CCUGGGCUCCUGGAGGUUGUGCAAGGAACGGAGAUGGAGACUCCCUGUCCAUGGGGAGCUUCCAUAUGGAAAAGGCUGCUGUGUCCAGGCAGCUCCAAGGCCACAGCAAGGAGGGUCUCGACCACUGGAUCUGUGCCAGUCCUACAGUACUGGGUAGCAGCCACUGAGCCCUGGGGGAAGAGAGGGCACAGCAAGAGGGACAAAACCAGGCAAGGUCAGAGACUGGGAAGAGGCAGAGCCAGGAGCAGGAACAGCUGCUCCAUUGCACUCUUGGAGAAAGCUCCUGGCUGGUUCAAAGUGCUGUAAGCCAUGAAGGGCAGAGAGGAGGCCUCACCAAACAAUGCUCCUGUUUCCACACCCUCCCCUCUCUGUGUCCCAGAAGAAAUUGCAUGGACUGUAUUCAUCUCUCCGAGUCGUCUCGUUCAGCACGAGCAGCUUAGCACCAGGAGCUGAAGCAGCUGCCACCAUAGGCCACAGGAGCUGAACACUUUUGGAGCAAAGUAAUGCUGCUCAAAUAGACCUAGCUGAAUGCAGUGGAUAUAAUAAUGGAAUCACAGCAUCCUUUCUGUUGGAAAAGACCUCUGAGCUCAUCCAGUCCAGCCGGUCACCCAGCAGUGACAAGCCCGGCACUAAACCACGUCCCUGAAGUGCCAAGGCCUGAACAGCAGGCCCUGAGCCAAAGGUGGCCUCUGGAUGAACCUUCCAACCAAAGGUUAUCUUUGUAUCUGCUUAUUAAUGAAACAUGCAUGGUCAUUAGCACUGUGGUAGAUGUAGCCACUCCUUAGUGACACAUGUAUUGAUCUUUUUGUAUUUGCAAGCCAGACAAGGCCAUGAAAUCUGACAUCUGGCCUUGUUUGGGGCUGAAGGAUCAAAGUCACCUCCCUUGGUUCCUCCUUGAGCCCUGGCCAGGCUUUGGGAGGGAUCCAAGACGAGGAUGAAACCAGAUGUUCCCACACUAGAAGUGCUGUCAGUUUGUUCAUUCAGCACUGUCAGAGCUGGGCCCUCUCACAGCGAGGUUGGAGCCUCAGCUGUGGCUGGAGGCACCUGCAGGAAUUCCCAGUGUCCAGGAGUGGCUCUGCAGCCCUUGGCUGGGACAGCUUCCCCUGCUGCUGUGUGGAUCUGGGGGAUGGUGAAGUCUGAGGGUAAAUGAUGCUGGAUCUUUCUUAAUCACUGUAGGCAAUCUUUGGUGCUGAUGAUUGGGUGCAUUGCUGAGCUGCUCCUUUUGUGAUCCUUUGCUGCUUUGAGCUGCAGUAAAUGACACUGAUUCCUUCAGUUGGAGUCUGUGUCUUUGGUGCUGACCCUGCCCACUGGUAAAACAAAACUGGCAGAGUCUGGCCAGAUCACAGCAAAAUGUCUCUUGUUAAAUGUAAAUGUGAAGAAUCAGUGCCAUCAGAAAUUCCCGGAUGGGAAGCCCUUCCCUGGAGUUGGCUGGCUCUGGAGUGGGCUGAGGUUGCAGCACUGUGUGAGCAGUGGGGCAGUUGGUUAAAAGAAGCUGAACCCCUGGAUGUCUUAAAAUGUAUCCAAAAAUUGCAUACGGAAAAGGAGAAGGACUUGUGGGUUUGGGCAGACAAAGAUGAAUUUGUUAACAGUACAUUGGAAGCAGCACCUUCAGAAGGAACAAUUCUUGUUGGAAUGCUCCCACAUGGAGCAACAGAAGAAGGUUUUAAUCUUGAGCUCCAAUGCAUUUGUGCAAGUGAAAUAUUAAUAUGAUAAAUAAUUAUGUACAUAUUUAUAGUAUAAUAAGACCUUAAGAUAUAUAUAUAUAUAUAUAUUUUCUAUGUAUGUCUAUACCUAUCUAGCUAUAUCUAUAUUUCUAUAUCAAUACCUAUAUCUACGUAUGAAAUAGUAAUAAUGUUAAAUAGUGCUGACAAUACUGAUUUGGUAGCUUUGGCUGCUCAGGGAUGUAACACUAAAUACUCUACAGAAAAGGAUUGGCCAUGACCCUAAUGUCAGAGGUAAACCUUUGAAAUUGUAUACAAUGAAAAAAGGAGGAGGGAAUGAAAUUAGCUAUUUUUACAGGGUUUGCUGAUACUGUGAUGCAGAAUGCUUUGUCUGUUACUGUAAAAAAUUCAGUGAUUAAGACUGCUGGGUUUUUCAUAUCCCAGACAAUCCACAAGCUGCAGGAUUGGUUAAAUGGGUGAAGGGUUGUUAAAAGAGCAGUUGACAAAAUGAGGAGAUGGGAACCUGUCCCCAUGGAAACACCAUCUCCCAGGUGUGCUCCAUGCCCUUAACAGUAGCCCACUGGGGAAAUGGAAACCCCUGGCUGUGCACAGCUGCCCCCAAUUUACAUUAACAAGCUAAAUUGAUUAUUAGACUAAACAAAAAAUGAUGCUGUGAAAAUAUCCAAUAGUACAUCCUGUGAGAUUCAACAAACACGAACGGGGCUCUGCAGAACCACACAGCCUUGGAUUAUCUGCUUGCUGGCCAGGGAGGAGCCUGGGCUAUUCUAGGACAGGAAUGUUGCAGGGAUGUCUAUCAGUGCUGGGUUUGAGGUCCAACAGUCAGCAAUCCCCUUGACAGAAAGAUCAGGACAAGAGUGGCAGAAAGAAGAAAAUUCUUCCUGGUGGGAUUGGCUCCCAAAUUGGAGGCUGCUGUGAAAUGCAUUCGUGGCAGUCACUGUAAUCAUUGCAAUGUGAGCACUUGGUGUGUUAUGAAUCCAUGUUAGAGUUGUUGUGACACCUUGUGCUGGAAAUUGAGUACUGAGACAUGUCUAAAAACAGACAUAGUCUCAAGAAAAAAGGAGCAUUUGAUAAAGAACAGAGAAGAGCAGCUAAUUAGGGCUCUUUUAAAAGGAAUGCAAAUUAUAGCUCUGAGUAAUGAACUUGAACAGCACUUAGCUGAAGAACAAGACCUGAUGCCUUUAUGCCUUAUACCUAAAUCUAUGGUUCUAUUAUUGAAAAAAAUGUUUUGAAGGUUGCAGUUCAUCUGUAGGUCAAAGCACUGAUUGAAGUCCUGAGGCCUCAUCAGGCCCUGACUGUGGCCUAAACAGCAGGCCCUGAGCCAAAGCUGAGCUCUAAAUGAACCUUCCAACCAGAUGUUAUCUUUGUAUCUGCUCAUUAAUGAAUCAUUAUUAGCAAUAUGAUUUCUGUAUGUGUUCAUUGAUGAAACAUGGAUUUACCUUUCUGUGUUUGGAAACUGGACAAGGCCCCAUCUGGCUUUGUUUGGGGCUGUGGGAUCAAAGUCACCUCCCUUGGCUCCUCCUUGAGUCCUGGCCAGGCUUUGGAAGAAGCCAAACAGGAGAAUUAAACCAGUUAUUCCCACACUAGCACUGAUGUCAGCUUGUUUGUUUAACAGUGUAAAAGCUGGGGCCUCUCACAGCGAGGUUGGAGCCUCACUGGCUCCAAAGGUGGAGGCACCUGCAGGAAUUCCCAGUGUCCAGGAGUGGCUCUCCAGUCCGUGGCUGUGAAAGGGUUAAAAGCACUGCCUAGGCAUACUUGGGCAAGAAUAAGAGACAUUGCACUCAAAAUGGAAGCUUGCAAAAAUUCAGCCACAAGCUAAAGACACAGGAUGAAACUUGGCAAGAAAUAGGGAACAAAACUGGCAGAAAUGAAGGGCAGAGCUUGCUAAAACCAGUGAGGAAAUUGCUGAGACUGCCAACAAGAGACUGCACAUGCCUAGAGGAGAAAGGUGAAAAGGGCACGGCGAUAAAAAUGUCCAGCCUUCAUCAGGAGACCCCCGAGGAAGUCGUGGAGCCUUCCUCAGUGCCAUCACCAGUGUGCACUGUGCCUGUGCCUCGUGUAUGCUAAUGAUUGUAAUGAGUGCUGAGAAAUCGUUUACAUAACCUCACCUUUUCUGAGGAGGAACAUGAAUAUGCAUAGAGUAUAACCAUAUAUUGUAAUCUCCUGUGUGCGCUGUCAGGAGGAGAUAUCCCCGCACACCCGGUGUGCUGAAUAAAGCAAAUCCCUCUCCUUGGGCUUUGUCUGGGAAGUGUCUCUUGGCCUGGUUUGGGGCCAUUCACAUCCAUGGGGUUCUGUCAAGUCACAGUGGAACCUUGGUGCCCUGUUGUUGCACAGCCUCACAAUGCUCUCCUGCUGCCAUGAGGUCCCUCCCUCAGUGACACACUGCAGCCCUGGUUCCAUGAGGGGCUCUUGGGUGCAGGCCUUUUUCACAUCUGAGCCUUGCUUCCAUGGGUUCCAGGGACUGACAGUGGCCCUCUUCAUUCCAUGGGGCCCAGCUAGAUCACAGCAGAGCCUGGCUUUCAUCAGGUUCUGAUACCUGUUCUGCCAGCUGACUGGGGUGAUUUAAAGAACACAGAAACCAAUGGGAAGAAUGGUCUUAUUUACUGGGAGUGUUAAGGCAACACAAAAGUUAAAUUAUGCAUUCAAUAAAACUACAUGCUUGGAUUUAGCAACAAGCAAAAAGAAGCAAGAGUCUGCAGUUGCUGAAAGGUCCCAUUUCACAGCAAGGUCCUGGAGAACUCUUCCAAGAGAUUGGGAAAAUCUCAUGUGGUGCAUCCACCCAUAGGUAACUACACAAGAUUAUGUGGAAGUCUCCACAGCAGCUGGUUUGGUUUUAAACAGCAGCAGAAUCAUAUGGGUCAUCUCUUUUUAGCUCAAUAAAACUGAUGGUGUUAGUCACAUAAUGCCCAGGUUUUGUCCUGUAACCCAGCUCUGGCUGAGGCUGCCACUUAGGCCUGAGCACAUCAGAAGCUGAAGUGACCACGACUGGGAAUGGCAAAAACACCCCACUGGGACUGGUCCAGAGGCCCUGGGACUCCCUGGCAUGGAUCACCUCAGGAAACAGUAUUUCAGGGAGCCCAAAGGACUUUUGGGAGAGAUGCUGUGGAGACAGAGGGAAUUCCACAGCUGAAUCCCUUACCUGGGCUCCCAGAGAACCCUUCUGCUGUGGGGCUGCUGAGGGUGGAGGAACAGCAGGUACCCAUGGCCACCCCAAAACAGGGCCCCGUUGGCAACACGGCACCGAGCGGGAC
This is a long non-coding RNA of Passer domesticus (house sparrow), 4930 nucleotides long. RefSeq lists it as uncharacterized. The transcript is spliced from 3 exons. The record is from RefSeq and is a predicted model, not a curated record. NCBI's taxonomy places the organism in Eukaryota, Metazoa, Chordata, Aves, Passeriformes, Passeridae.